UCUAGCCAUGUGAGUCAUUGUAGCAAUACAAGGCAUACGGCUCAGUAACACGUAGUCAAUCUAACCUAUGGACGUGGAUAACCUCGGGAAACUGAGAAUAAUCCGCGAUAGAUCAUUAAUCCUGGAACGGUUUAUGGUCGAAAAGAUUCGUCGCCGUAGGAUGGGACUGCGGCCUAUCAGCUUGUUGGUGAGGUAAUGGCCCACCAAGGCUAUUACAGGUACGGGCUCUGAGAGGAGAAGCCCGGAGAUGGGUACUGAGACACGGACCCAGGCCCUAUGGGGCGCAGCAGGCGAGAAACCUUUGCAAUGUGCGCAAGCACGACAAGGUUAAUCCGAGUGUUUCCUGCUAAAGGAAUCUUUUGUUAGUUCUAAAACCACUGAUGAAUAAGGGGUGGGCAAGUCUGGUGUCAGCCGCCGCGGUAAAACCAGCACCUCAAGUGGUCAGGAGGAUUAUUGGGCCUAAAGCAUCCGUAGCCGGUUCUAUAAGUUUCCGGUUAAAUCCACUAGCUCAACUAGUGGGCUGCCGGAAAUACUGUAGAACUAGGGAGUGGGAGAGGUAGACGGUACUCGGUAGGAAGGGGUAAAAUCCUUUGAUCUAUUGAUGACCACCUGUGGCGAAGGCGGUCUACCAGAACACGUUCGACGGUGAGGGAUGAAAGCUGGGGGAGCAAACCGGAUUAGAUACCCGGGUAGUCCCAGCUGUAAACGAUGCAGACUCGGUGAUGCACUGGCUUGUGGCCAGUGCAGUGCCGCAGGGAAGCCGUUAAGUUUGCCGCCUGGGAAGUACGUACGCAAGUAUGAAACUUAAAGGAAUUGGCGGGGGAGCACCACAAGGGGUGAAGCCUGCGGUUCAAUUGGAGUCAACGCCAGAAAUCUUACCCGAAGAGACAGCAGAAUGAAAGGUCAAGCCGGAGACUUUACCAGACAAGCUGAGAA
Molecule: ribosomal RNA, 936 nt
Filed under: uncultured archaeon
Lineage: Archaea
Description: bacterial SSU rRNA
Rfam family: Archaeal small subunit ribosomal RNA
Source: RNAcentral